Molecule: long non-coding RNA, 627 nt
Organism: Helianthus annuus (common sunflower)
Lineage: Eukaryota; Viridiplantae; Streptophyta; Magnoliopsida; Asterales; Asteraceae
Exons: 4
Source: RefSeq, a predicted model, not a curated record
ACCAUUAGUUGUAAAUGUCGAUUGAAUUUCCACUGAGGUCAUGCGUUAUCGAUUCAUGAAUAUGCGAUUAAUGGUACCCUCCUUCGAUGUAUUAGUUAAAGAGGGAGCGAGAGUGAAGACUGAAGAAUACGAAGAGAGGGGAGCAAGGGCCCUCCGGGGACGGUGAUAUCGAUGAUAGCUAAGGUCGAAAGUUGCAUGCCAACGCGAAGUUUGAUGCGGAUGAACUGGAGGAUCCACCAAAGGUUGAAGAGAAGCUUGGUGCUGUUCCACAUGGUUCAUCCAUUGAUUCUUAUGGAAAUAUCUUUGCACCAGUGGUGAGAAGUUUGAGUUCCAGGCUGAGAUAUCUUAGCUUAUGGACAUAGGCUGAGGUAUCUUGGCUAAUGUCUACACGUGUGGCCAUGGCAAGGAACGAUUCUGUUGCUGGGUAUUCAGAAAAAUGGACCACACUAGAAGCCAUCUUGACCCACGGUAGAAGAAACAAGCAUCACAUGAGUGCUGAAUUCACCUGUCAUGUUGAAGUCAAACGCAUACGCAAUAGCCAAGAGUGGUUCAGGCUGACAUGUGGCGGUGGGAAUUGCAUGAAAGGUGUGGGGCGUGAAGACAAAGAUAUGUGGUGUGAUGGGUGCG